GAGGGGAUGGAGGUGGUUGGCAAAUUAAAAUUAUAUUUAUGAAUAGGAUAUGGAUCCAUGUACGACGACCCUCGCAUGAUAGAAUUGUUUCCACGGUUGCAAAGCUGUGAGCAAAUUAGAGAUGGUAGUACCUCACAUGAGUGCUAUAUACAUGAGCUGUUGUUUGUUACAACCCAUGGCCACCGAUGAGUCGUCGGGACGUGAGCAAAUCACAGGAGAACGCAGAGUCAAUGGUGGAAGGCCGGGAAAGGAACCCUGACGCCCAGUUCACAUUUUGCUUCGACAAAGAGUUCAUGUCCAAGAUGAUACAGGGUGCUGGCCUAUAUGCACAAAUAACGAUGUUGACCUCUGGGGCCCACUAAGAUGACACAAGCCAGUAAACAAACGACAUGUUACAAUUUAAACACCUACGUCGAAUGUGUCUUCCGACCUUCUAGUUCUCAGGCCUGGCCGUUUGUUACACCUCCCUCGACCG
Molecule: long non-coding RNA, 475 nt
Filed under: Setaria viridis
Lineage: Eukaryota; Viridiplantae; Streptophyta; Magnoliopsida; Poales; Poaceae
Description: long non-coding RNA (SVIR_LNC006344)
Source: RNAcentral